UACGGGGGGGGCAAGCGUUGUUCGGAAUUACUGGGCGUAAAGGGCUCGUAGGCGGCCAACUAAGUCGGAUGUGAAAUCCCUCGGCUUAACCGGGGAACUGCGUCUGAUACUGGAUGGCUUGAGUUUGGGAGAGGGAUGCGGAAUUCCAGGUGUAGCGGUGAAAUGCGUAGAUAUCUGGAGGAACACCGGUGGCGAAGGCGGCAUCCUGGACCAACACUGACACUGAGGAGCGAAAGCCAGGGGGGCAAACGGG
This 253-nucleotide ribosomal RNA is filed under the name uncultured bacterium. RNAcentral describes it as "partial 16S ribosomal RNA". It matches the Rfam family "Bacterial small subunit ribosomal RNA", at positions 524 to 776 of the family's 1533-position model. The record is from RNAcentral.